AUUGAACGCUGGCGGAAUGCUUUACACAUGCAAGUCGAACGGCAGCACGGACUUCGGUCUGGUGGAGAGUGACGAACGGGUGAGUAAUGUCUUGGAACGUGCCCAGUCGUGGGGGAUAACGUAGUGAAAAUUACGCUAAUACCGCAUACGAUCUAUGGAUGAAAGCGGGGGAACGCAAGACCUCGCGCGAUUGGAGCGGCCGAUAUCGGAUUAGGUAGUUGGGGGGGUAAAGGCCCACCAAGCCAACGAUCUUUAGCUGGUCUGUGAAGACGACCAGCCGCGCAGGAACUGGGACAAGGUCCAGACUCCUACGGGAGGCAGCAGUGGGGAAUUUUGGACAAUGGGCGAAAGCCUGAUCCAGCCAGUCCGCGUGCAGGGUGAAGGCCCUAGGGUUGUAAACUGCUUUUUUUCAGUACGAAAAGGUUUCUACUAAUAAUAGGAGCUCAUGACGGUACUGUAAGAAUAAGCACCGGCUAACUACGUGCCAGCCGCCGCAGUAG
This 500-nucleotide ribosomal RNA is filed under the name uncultured bacterium. Its description in RNAcentral is "partial 16S ribosomal RNA". It matches the Rfam family "Bacterial small subunit ribosomal RNA", at positions 30 to 523 of the family's 1533-position model. The record is from RNAcentral.